UUGGAGGGCAAGUCUGGUGCCAGCAGCCGCGGUACUUCCAGCUCCAAUAGCGUAUAUUAAAGUUGUUGCAGUUAAAAAGCUCGUAGUUGAAUUUCGGGGUCGGUAGGUCGGUCGUGCCACUGGUAUGAACUGGUUUUACUGAUUCCUCCCUCUUGAAGAACUGUAAUGCCAUUAAUUUGGUGUUGCAGGGAAUCAGGACUGUUACUUUGAAAAAAUUAGAGUGUUUAAAGCAGGCUUUAGCUUGGAUACAUUAGCAUGGAAUAAUGAAAUAGGACGUUUGAUCCUAUUUUGUUGGUUUCUAGGAUUGACGUAAUGAUUAAUAGGGAUAGUUGGGGGCAUUAGUAUUCAAUUGUCAGAAGUGAAAUUCUUGGAUUUAUUGAAGACUAACUACUGCGAAAGCAUUUGCCAAGGAUGUUUUCAUUAAUCAAGAAUGAAAGUUAGGGGAUUGAAGACGAUCAGAUACCGUCGUAGUCUUAACCAUAAACUAUGCCGACUAGGGAUCAGAUGAUGUUAAUUUUUUAAUGACUCAUUCGGCGCCUUACGGGAAAC
This 549-nucleotide ribosomal RNA is filed under the name uncultured Rhizophagus. Its description in RNAcentral is "SSU rRNA". It matches the Rfam family "Eukaryotic small subunit ribosomal RNA", at positions 548 to 1098 of the family's 1831-position model. The record is from RNAcentral. Lineage: Eukaryota; Fungi; Glomeromycota; Glomeromycetes; Glomerales; Glomeraceae.